RNAcentral lists this ribosomal RNA (496 nucleotides) under uncultured bacterium. Its description in RNAcentral is "partial 16S ribosomal RNA". It matches the Rfam family "Bacterial small subunit ribosomal RNA", at positions 29 to 507 of the family's 1533-position model. The record is from RNAcentral.
AUGCACGCUGGCGGCGUGCCUAAUACAUGCAAGUCGAGCGAACAGACGAGGAGCUUGCUCCUCUGACGUUAGCGGCGGACGGGUGAGUAACACGUGGAUAACCUACCUAUAAGACUGGGAUAACUUCGGGAAACCGGAGCUAAUACCGGAUAAUAUAUUGAACCGCAUGGUUCAAUAGUGAAAGACGGUUUUGCUGUCACUUAUAGAUGGAUCCGCGCCGCAUUAGCUAGUUGGUAAGGUAACGGCUUACCAAGGCAACGAUGCGUAGCCGACCUGAGAGGGUGAUCGGCCACACUGGAACUGAGACACGGUCCAGACUCCUACGGGAGGCAGCAGUAGGGAAUAUUCCGCAAUGGGCGAAAGCCUGACGGAGCAACGCCGCGUGAGUGAUGAAGGUCUUCGGAUCGUAAAACUCUGUUAUUAGGGAAGAACAAAUGUGUAAGUAACUAUGCACGUCUUGACGGUACCUAAUCAGAAAGCCGCGGCUAACUACGUG